Molecule: ribosomal RNA, 690 nt
Filed under: Triticum aestivum (bread wheat)
Lineage: Eukaryota; Viridiplantae; Streptophyta; Magnoliopsida; Poales; Poaceae
Description: partial small subunit ribosomal RNA
Source: RNAcentral
AUGAGUAUCUUAUGCUGGAACCGUCGAGGCUUGGGGUCGGACUCGACAGUUGGCGAGCUUCGCUGGCUUGUGAAGCUUUACCGACCCACCCUCCUCUUCCUUUCAGAGACGAAGAUGAGGGAUUCCCGUGCUAAAAAAUUUCUAUGGUCAUUGGGUUUUUCUGGUGGCCAUGCUGUGAGUAGUAAUGGCCUAAGUGGUGGCCUAGUUCUGUUCUGGUCGGUCUCCGUAAGUGUCUCUUUGAAAGCUUUCAAUAGCCGCUGCAUUGAUGUUCAUGUCAAGCCUGAGGAAGGGGUACCUUGGCGAGCAACGUUCAUUUAUGGAGAACCAAGGAGAGAGGACAAAGCUCAGUUCUGGGACUUCCUUCGUUUUAUGAGAGCUCAAUGGAAUGGCCCAUGGAUCUGUUGUGGUGACUUCAAUGAGGUGCUUUCCCAGGAUGAACACUGUGGUCCUAGGGAUCGCAAUGAUUCUCAAAUUACUGCAUUCCGUGACUGCCUGACAGAUUGUAGCCUGACUGAUUUGGGUUUUGUUGGACCAAAGUUCACAUGGUGCAACCGACAAGACCCAGAGUGUCAUGUCAAGGUGCGGUUGGAUAGGGCUGUGGCAAAUGCAAGUUUCUUGAAUCUGCUUGAGGAUUGUAAGGUGGAGAAUGUGAUAACCACCACUUCUGAUCACUAUGCUAUUCACAUUUGA